Molecule: ribosomal RNA, 253 nt
Filed under: uncultured bacterium
Lineage: Bacteria
Description: partial 16S ribosomal RNA
Rfam family: Bacterial small subunit ribosomal RNA
Source: RNAcentral
UACGUAGGGUGCAAGCGUUGUCCGGAAUUAUUGGGCGUAAAGAGCUCGUAGGCGGUUUGUUGCGUCGGCUGUGAAAUCCCGAGGCUCAACCUCGGGUCUGCAGUCGAUACGAGCAAACUAGAGUGUUGCAGGGGAGACUGGAAUUCCUGGUGUAGCGGUGAAAUGCGCAGAUAUCAGGAGGAACACCAAUAGCGAAGGCAGCUCGCUGGGACGGUACUGACGCUAAGGUGCGAAAGCGUGGGGAGCGAACAGG